CAGUAACAAGUAAAGAAACCCCGGCUAACUCCGUGCCAGCAGCCGCGGUAAUACGGAGGGGGUUAGCGUUGUUCGGAAUUACUGGGCGUAAAGCGCACGUAGGCGGAUUGGAAAGUUGGGGGUGAAAUCCCGGGGCUCAACCCCGGAACUGCCUCCAAAACUAUCAGUCUAGAGUUCGAGAGAGGUGAGUGGAAUUCCAAGUGUAGAGGUGAAAUUCGUAGAUAUUUGGAGGAACACCAGUGGCGAAGGCGGCUCACUGGCUCGAUACUGACGCUGAGGUGCGAAAGUGUGGGGAGCAAACAGGAUUAGAUACCCUGGUAGUCCACACCGUAAACGAUGAAUGCCAGUCGUCGGGCAGUAUACUGUUCGGUGACACACCUAACGGAUUAAGCAUUCCGCCUGGGGAGUACGGUCGCAAGAUUAAAACUCAAAGGAAUUGACGG
RNAcentral lists this ribosomal RNA (443 nucleotides) under uncultured marine bacterium. RNAcentral describes it as "bacterial SSU rRNA". It matches the Rfam family "Bacterial small subunit ribosomal RNA", at positions 473 to 916 of the family's 1533-position model. The record is from RNAcentral.